This is a non-coding RNA of Heterocephalus glaber (naked mole-rat), 809 nucleotides long. Lineage: Eukaryota; Metazoa; Chordata; Mammalia; Rodentia; Bathyergidae. The record is from RefSeq and is a predicted model, not a curated record.
AUUGAAGGGCUGGUAACCUGGUUACCAAGAGAAAGUUCUCUUCUAACUUCGCUCUUGCAUUUUCUCCUGUUGGGAGCUCUCCAAGCUAGUGUCUAAGAUGCUCCAUGAAAAGGACCUGCCACAGAGAAUGACCCUGCUGUGAAAUCUACCCCUCUAGCCUGGAAUGAAGGAACAUUCUUUCCAGUGCUCCUCCCACAAAAAUACUUGAAGAGAAUGAUCAUUUAAAUUUUCUGCAUCUGGAGAAGACUCGCGACUCCCUGCCUCCGCCUGCUCUGAGGUAACUGGAAAAGAUAAAGAAAGCUGCGCGCCAUGCUUUCCCACAUGAAAAGGACUGCUCUGUGGCAGGACAACUCCAUGCCUAAAUCCUGCUUGAGGCCAAGAAGUUAUUCUGGUUCCUGGAAAUAUUACCCACAGUUCUUCUGAAUGAGGAUGCCCACAAGCUAACCAAAAUCAAGCUAAAUGAAGUGAAUUAUAAAGUAGAUUCCAUUGAACUGGAGAUAAAUAAUAUGGUCGCCUUCUUCUCUGAAAACUAAAAGACUUUAUUAACUUGGAGGCCCAGAUUCCAAAAGCCUGACCAGGGAGUUUUACCAAAUAACAGGAGUAAUGAUGCUGAGUUGGGUAGAGAAGAUCUGUGAACAGAAAUACAACUGUCCCAGUAAGUAAUACUGUUGCUUUAGAAAUUUCAGUUGUGGUUCAUUCGUAUUGAUGUGCUAUGUUUAGUGCUUAAUAUUCAUUUUAGGCCUUUCUAAAACAGUGCUUCUCCAUGAGUCAUAACAAAUUAAUAAGAAAAAGCAAAUAACUAUGAAAAA